GAUGAACGCUGGCGGCGUGCUUAACACAUGCAAGUCGAACGAGAAGUGGAGACGGAAACCUUCGGGCGGAAGACUUUACUUCGAGUGGCGGACGGGUGAGUAACGCGUGGGUAACCUGCCUCAUACAGGGGGAUAACAGUUGGAAACGACUGUUAAUACCGCAUAAGACCACAGCACCGCAUGGUGCGGGGGUAAAAACUCCGGUGGUAUGAGAUGGACCCGCGUUCGAUUAGCCAGUUGGCGGGGUAACGGCCCACCAAAGCGACGAUCGAUAGCCGAUCUGAGAGGAUGACCGGCGACACUGGGACUGAGACACGGCCCAAACUCCUACGGGAGGCAGCAGUGGGGAAUGUUGCACAAUGGGGGAAACGCUGAUGCAGCGCCGCCGCGUGAGUGAAGAAGUAUUUCGGUAUGUAAAGCUCUAUCAGCAGGGAAGAAAAUGACAGUACCUGAGUAAGAAGCCCCGGCUAACUACGUG
Molecule: ribosomal RNA, 478 nt
Filed under: uncultured bacterium
Lineage: Bacteria
Description: partial 16S ribosomal RNA
Rfam family: Bacterial small subunit ribosomal RNA
Source: RNAcentral